UACGUAGGGGGCAAGCGUUGUCCGGAAUCACUGGGCGUAAAGCGUGCGUAGGCGGUUGCGUGUGUCUGGGGUGAAAGUCCAGGGCUCAACCCUGGGAUUGCCUUUGAAACUGUUGGGCUUGAGUACGGGAGAGGUGAGUGGAAUUCCGAGUGUAGAGGUGAAAUUCGUAGAUAUUCGGAAGAACACCAGUGGCGAAGGCGGCUCACUGGACCGUAACUGACGCUCAUGCACGAUAGCGUGGGGAGCAAACAGG
This 253-nucleotide ribosomal RNA is filed under the name uncultured bacterium. RNAcentral describes it as "partial 16S ribosomal RNA". It matches the Rfam family "Bacterial small subunit ribosomal RNA", at positions 524 to 776 of the family's 1533-position model. The record is from RNAcentral.